CCAGCAGCCGCGGUAAUACGAAGGGGGCUAGCGUUGCUCGGAAUGACUGGGCGUAAAGGGCGCGUAGGCGGUUUGGUUAGUUAGACGUGAAAUUCCAGGGCUCAACCUUGGGACUGCGUUUAAGACAGCCAGACUUGAGUGAGGAAGAGGGUUGUGGAAUUCCCAGUGUAGAGGUGAAAUUCGUAGAUAUUGGGAAGAACACCGGUGGCGAAGGCGGCAACCUGGUCCUUUACUGACGCUGAGGCGCGAAAGCGUGGGGAGCAAACAGGAUUAGAUACCCUGGUAGUCCACGCUGUAAACGAUGUGUGCUGGAUGUUGGGUAACCUAGUUACUCAGUGUCGUAGCUAACGCGAUAAGCACACCGCCUGGGGAGUACGGCC
Molecule: ribosomal RNA, 380 nt
Filed under: uncultured Alphaproteobacteria bacterium
Lineage: Bacteria; Pseudomonadati; Pseudomonadota; Alphaproteobacteria
Description: bacterial SSU rRNA
Rfam family: Bacterial small subunit ribosomal RNA
Source: RNAcentral